Long non-coding RNA from Oncorhynchus mykiss (rainbow trout), 2337 nucleotides. RefSeq lists it as uncharacterized. The record is from RefSeq and is a predicted model, not a curated record. NCBI's taxonomy places the organism in Eukaryota, Metazoa, Chordata, Actinopteri, Salmoniformes, Salmonidae.
UCUGAACUGAGGUGUUGAAUAAAAGGGACCCUCAGUCAGAAACUUUACAGGUCAGAAGCGACACACUCGGUCAGAAUCGUUAUUCUUAGUAUAGAGCUCUUUAUAAACCGGGUAGUUUGCAUACUGGAUGCUGAUUGGCUAAAAACAGCAUUUAGCCGUGUGUAUGUGAGACUGUUUACGUUCACCAUGAUAUCAUUGCGCCUUUUCACCUCUAUAAAAUGGCUACAGCAAUAAUAGUUCCACAUGCCGAUGUAGAAAAUAAAAGUUAAAAUGAAUUUGAGGGAAACUGAAACGAAUUGUGAAACAAAGUGGGCACUUACCCGCUUCACUGACUGGUGCACCGAACAAGGGAUACAUUGUGAGUUUGUGAAUACAACCAAAAUGGAGCUGAAAGUCAUUUUACGGGACUGUUAUGGUUAAGUGAGAAACAUGAAUGGCGAAAAAGAUGGGAUUAGCAGCUAAACUGCCGCUGGACUUGAACCGAAAGAUCAAUGACCCCCUCUCAGUCUGGCAUGGAAUAUACAGGACACCGAAAUCACAACGCGCAACAAUGUGUCGUCUCUCAGCGUAAUUAAAAAGUUGAGGAAGAGGGGUGCGACAAAGCAGUGAAUGGAUACGUAUGGUACACAUGUCAAGAGCCGAUAGGAGUGAACACCCUCGUAACAAUGCUGCCAAAAUCCUGAAAAAUAGCUGGCUCGUCACAGAUGUACACAAACUACUACCUCCGUCAUCCAUUUACAGUAGCGUGGAGCCAACAAACAUGGAACAUUUGUUUCAUUUGUGCACAAUAAAUGACAACAUUCAGAUCAAUGUUAAUAAAUAAUUGUCAUGUGUUAGUCAUUCUAUAAAGGGGCGCUAAUGCUCGGUUUUUGCAUACAUGUAAUGUAGGUUUGCCAUCUUGCCUGUGGUUAUGUUGCAUAGCAACCAGUUUAGCGUUGAUACUUUUGUCCGGACUACUUUUUCUGGCAGUAUGUAUUUAUUGUGAAUGUAUUUAUUAAAGCAACAUUUUCAAUAUAGAUGUGUAGUUUCUUGCCUUACUUUGUUGGCAACCGGUUUAUAAAAGCAAUAAGGCACUUUGGGGGUUAGUGGUAUAUGGCCUAUGUACCACGGCUAAGGGCUGUAUGCAGGCACUCCGCGUUGCGUCGUAGAAAGAACAACCCGUAGCCUUGGUAUAUAACCCAUAUACCACACCCUCUUGGGCCUCAUUGUUUAAAUAGACGCUCAGCGCUAUAUCAAAUCGCAAAGGGCCUACACUGGAGCCGGUUCCAAAUUUUCAACCGUAAACAAUCAUAACAUUUUGUUCAUCGUUAUAAUUGGUCAUGGGAACAUAUCCAUCGAUCUAACUGUUGUAUAUAAUGACCCUCGCUUGGUUAGCUGCCGAGACUCAAUAGCGCCCCACGUCAUGUGCCAGUACCACACCGCAGGUCUGGCAUUGUAAAUUGACCUUGUUUUUGUUCCUGAGGGAAUACGCUAGAAAAUAGUUAGCUAGCUACGUUACUUCAGCUGCAUUCCAUUGCAAAUGUCGGCGGGAAGCGGUGAAAAAUACAAACUUUGGACAACUAUAUGAUUAUCCAGAAAUUAUUAGAACAUACAAUGUUACAUUCACUCCAGAGGAGUAUCAAAUGUAAUAACAUGUAUAUAAGGAAACUAUGUCAAUAUGUUACUAUUCCCUCUGCUAAAAUGUACUGAAAUGCAGCCCUCGGACAAGUGAACUGGAACAGUUUCGUUAUCUGGUAAAUAUUGUACAUCUAAGGUGAAAGAGGUAUCAUACAAACUCAUUCAUAGAAUCUACCCUGAAAUGACCUUUAUUAUACACAGAUUUAAAAUAGCUAUUGAUAACAAAUGUGUAUUUUGUGAUUGUGACCCAGAGACUCUUGACCAUUUAUUUUGGGACUGCUCUUAUGUCAGAAUAUUUUGGUGUGAGUUAGAAUAUUUUAUUUUAAAAGAAACAACUAUUAAUGUUAAUUUGAAAGACAAUUUGAAAGACUAGAUAUUGUGUUUAUUUUGAACCAAAUGAUAUGGACCCUGAUUUAACUUUCAUUGUUAAUUUGUUUAUCUUUCAUGGAAGAUUAUUUGUCCAUAAAAUGCAGUGGGCAGAGAACAAACCCCUUUUCACAUUAUUUAAGAUAGAAUUGAAAUAUUAUUUUGAAAUUCUCGGUAAAUGAAAAAACAAAAAAGCAAUUACGCACCAUAAAAGUAUUUAACAAAUUGAAAAUGAAUCUGGAUAUGUAAUACCCCUGUCUGUUAGGUUUAUGUACUCUUGUUUGUAUAUUUCUGUUUUUUGUUGUUGUACUUGUGUUCAUAAUAAAAAUAAAAAUCACCAGCGGCGACGACCAA